GGGCAAUAGAGCUUGAGCGUCUUUUCCAUGCUACCAUUUGUGUUUUUCUUUUUUCAGUCUUUUUGUUGGCUAUGACCUAUUGCCAUUCACGUUGGUUAAAUGUCGCUUUCAUGUUUCUUAAGCUUCAUUUUCGUUGUGUUGGUUAUAGUUCAUUUACCUUUAUAGUAUUUGGUUUGAAAAAUGAUUUCAUUUUAGUUUUUUCAAAAAUCCCAACUAUGAAGAAUCUCUCUCCUUUUCGUUAGAAUUUUAAAUUUGUAGCCUAUUGACUUAUGGCUUCUUGAUGAACAGGUGUUGAAUCGUUUGACAUUGAUAUGGAAAAAAGUGACGGUGAAAGGCAAUGUCCAGCCAGAGGCAGUUCUGCAGAAUGUUUCAAAGACUAGGAAGGCAACUUCUUUCUGGGAUGCACCCCCUGAAGCUGUUGCUUAAUAUACUCAUUUGCUACACUGGACAAAUAGAAUGUUUGUUGAGGAACUCGAUUUAAUAAUCACAAGAAAAACAGUGUGUGGGAGUAUUUGACAAGGGGGAGUUGUGUUUCAUUUUUGAUAAUGUAUCCACAUUUUCGCCUUGUAGAUAAGAAGUCAUUGCCAGAUUAACUUUUGAUGUUCUCAGCAAACAGAUUUUGUUAUCUAUUGUUGAAUGUGUUGUAUUUCAUUAGCUUAUGGGAGGACUUCCAGUUUCACUUUUGAUUAGCUUAUGAGAGCAAUUCCAGUUCUGAGCAAAACCGUCGUCUCCGUUGUCUUUUAUUUGCCCCUUUGUUUUUACUAAUAUUUUGGUGCUGAAGUUUUGACUGUUGCCACAAGAAUAAUUUGGUUUAUCCGAACAAGUUAAU
Molecule: long non-coding RNA, 829 nt
Filed under: Olea europaea subsp. europaea
Lineage: Eukaryota; Viridiplantae; Streptophyta; Magnoliopsida; Lamiales; Oleaceae
Source: RNAcentral